GAAACUAAAGCUUGUAGAUGGAGUUGUACCAACAUGACAUAUAUUUAUAUUUUUAUUUAGUAUGUCUGCUAUGAAGUGAAAAUGAUAAGAAACGAUCAAACUAUUAAAAAUAGUCAGAAUUAAUAUAUAUGAUGAUCGGAAAAGGACGUCGUAGAAGUUUGGAACCAUAGUUUUAUUCCAAAGUUUGACCAAUUUCACAAAGGAAGACAUGACUUAAGUACCAUAGACUUUCAUUCACGCCAUGCGAUUUGCAAACCAUUCGACAAAACUUUAUUUCAUACAAAAGCACAAGAAUGUAGCAUAAACAUAGGAUAAGUUUGAACAUGACCGCCAUAUGGGCCACGAUAAUUCGAAAACUCAGCAAAAAAUGAUGGAAAGAUUUAUUCAAAUAUGAUAUGGUACAUUUUAACAAAGAAAAUAUAUCCACUUGUUUCGAUUAUCAGUUCCAACGAUCAAUUCCCACCUCAGUAUUCCCAUUUCUUGGUCACUCAGAAACCCACAUAACCUCUUUC
RNAcentral lists this long non-coding RNA (512 nucleotides) under Setaria viridis. RNAcentral's name for it is "long non-coding RNA (SVIR_LNC007176)". The record is from RNAcentral. Lineage: Eukaryota; Viridiplantae; Streptophyta; Magnoliopsida; Poales; Poaceae.